Long non-coding RNA from Symphalangus syndactylus (siamang), 398 nucleotides. RefSeq lists it as uncharacterized. The record is from RefSeq and is a predicted model, not a curated record. NCBI's taxonomy places the organism in Eukaryota, Metazoa, Chordata, Mammalia, Primates, Hylobatidae.
GUCCCCAGGUUCCCGGCGGGCUUCCGCACUCACAGCCUUGGCACCGCCCCCAAGCCGAAGUGUUGGAAGCACUCACAGCCUUGGCACCGCCCCCAAGCCGAAGUGUUUUUGAGAUGGGGAAGUGCUGUGGAACAUCAGAUAGAAUGGAUAGCAUAGCCCAAAUUUUACAAAAAGGAUUUUAAAGGAAGAUCUCAAUGGUGAAACACUAGAGGCUUUCCUGCUAAAGUUAAGAACAAGAAAAGGCUGACUCAGCUUUGGCAUGCAGGAAGUGUUGGAGCUGAAACUCGAAACUGUCCCCCAGGCCUUGGCCAUGCUGAUAAAUAUCUGGGCCCUACAGGAGUUCAUGUCCAUGAACCCAGUAAACGCAAUUCCUCAGCCUUAAAAUCUAGUCACUGUCU